GACGAACGCUGGCGGCGUGCCUAAUACAUGCAAGUAGAACGCUGAAGAGAGGAGCUUGCUCUUCUUGGAUGAGUUGCGAACGGGUGAGUAACGCGUAGGUAACCUGCCUUGUAGCGGGGGAUAACUAUUGGAAACGAUAGCUAAUACCGCAUAACAAUGGAUGACACAUGUCAUUUAUUUGAAAGGGGCAAUUGCUCCACUACAAGAUGGACCUGCGUUGUAUUAGCUAGUAGGUGAGGUAACGGCUCACCUAGGCGACGAUACAUAGCCGACCUGAGAGGGUGAUCGGCCACACUGGGACUGAGACACGGCCCAGACUCCUACGGGAGGCAGCAGUAGGGAAUCUUCGGCAAUGGGGGCAACCCUGACCGAGCAACGCCGCGUGAGUGAAGAAGGUUUUCGGAUCGUAAAGCUCUGUUGUAAGUCAAGAACGAGUGUGAGAGUGGAAAGUUCACACUGUGACGGUAGCUUACCAGAAAGGGACGGCUAACUACGUGCCAGCAGCCGCGGUAAUACGUAGGUCCCGAGCGUUGUCCGGAUUUAUUGGGCGUAAAGCGAGCGCAGGCGGUUUGAUAAGUCUGAAGUUAAAGGCUGUGGCUCAACCAUAGUUUGCUUUGGAAACUGUCAAACUUGAGUGCAGAAGGGGAGAGUGGAAUUCCAUGUGUAGCGGUGAAAUGCGUAGAUAUAUGGAGGAACACCGGUGGCGAAAGCGGCUCUCUGGUCUGUAACUGACGCUGAGGCUCGAAAGCGUGGGGAGCGAACAGGAUUAGAUACCCUGGUAGUCCACGCCGUAAACGAUGAGUGCUAGGUGUUGGAUCCUUUCCGGGAUUCAGUGCCGCAGCUAACGCAUUAAGCACUCCGCCUGGGGAGUACGACCGCAAGGUUGAAACUCAAAGGAAUUGACGGGGGCCCGCACAAGCGGUGGAGCAUGUGGUUUAAUUCGAAGCAACGCGAAGAACCUUACCAGGUCUUGACAUCCCGAUGCUAUUUCUAGAGAUAGAAAGUUACUUCGGUACAUCGGUGACAGGUGGUGCAUGGUUGUCGUCAGCUCGUGUCGUGAGAUGUUAGGUUAAGUCCCGCAACGAGCGCAACCCCUAUUGUUAGUUGCCAUCAUUCAGUUGGGCACUCUAGCGAGACUGCCGGUAAUAAACCGGAGGAAGGUGGGGAUGACGUCAAAUCAUCAUGCCCCUUAUGACCUGGGCUACACACGUGCUACAAUGGUUGGUACAACGAGUUGCAAGUCGGUGACGGCAAGCUAAUCUCUUAAAGCCAAUCUCAGUUCGGAUUGUAGGCUGCAACUCGCCUACAUGAAGUCGGAAUCGCUAGUAAUCGCGGAUCAGCACGCCGCGGUGAAUACGUUCCCGGGCCU
RNAcentral lists this ribosomal RNA (1369 nucleotides) under uncultured bacterium. Its description in RNAcentral is "bacterial SSU rRNA". It matches the Rfam family "Bacterial small subunit ribosomal RNA", at positions 28 to 1381 of the family's 1533-position model. The record is from RNAcentral.